This 253-nucleotide ribosomal RNA is filed under the name uncultured bacterium. RNAcentral's name for it is "partial 16S ribosomal RNA". It matches the Rfam family "Bacterial small subunit ribosomal RNA", at positions 524 to 776 of the family's 1533-position model. The record is from RNAcentral.
GACGAACCGUGCGAACGUUGUUCGGAAUCACUGGGCUUAAAGGGCGCGUAGGCGGCUUGCCAAGUCAGGGGUGAAAUCCUGCAGCUUAACUGUAGAAGGGCCUUUGAUACUGGCGAGCUCGAGGGAGGUAGGGGUAUGUGGAACUUCCGGUGGAGCGGUGAAAUGCGUUGAUAUCGGAAGGAACGCCGGUGGCGAAAGCGACGUACCGGACCUCUUCUGACGCUGAGGCGCGAAAGCUAGGGGAGCAAACGGG